RNAcentral lists this ribosomal RNA (425 nucleotides) under uncultured bacterium. RNAcentral's name for it is "bacterial SSU rRNA". It matches the Rfam family "Bacterial small subunit ribosomal RNA", at positions 355 to 796 of the family's 1533-position model. The record is from RNAcentral.
UGGGGAAUCUUGCGCAAUGGGGGAAACCCUGACGCAGCGACGCCGCGUGCGGGAUGAAGGCCUUCGGGUUGUAAACCGCUUUCAGCAGGGACGAAAUUGACGGUACCUGCAGAAGAAGGCCCGGCCAACUACGUGCCAGCAGCCGCGGUAAUACGUAGGGGCCUAGCGUUGUCCGGAAUUAUUGGGCGUAAAGAGCUCGUAGGCGGUUCGGCAAGUCGGAUGUGAAAUCUCCACGCUUAACGUGGAGGGGCCAUUCGAAACUGCUGUGACUCGAGUCCGGUAGGGGAGUGUGGAAUUCCCGGUGUAGCGGUGAAAUGCGCAGAUAUCGGGAGGAACACCAGUAGCGAAGGCGGCACUCUGGGCCGGUACUGACGCUGAGGAGCGAAAGCGUGGGGAGCGAACAGGAUUAGAUACCCCCGUAGUCC